RNAcentral lists this unclassified non-coding RNA (2698 nucleotides) under Hevea brasiliensis (rubber tree). Lineage: Eukaryota; Viridiplantae; Streptophyta; Magnoliopsida; Malpighiales; Euphorbiaceae. The record is from RNAcentral.
CCAUAUCGCAGCAAUAGAGUGCUUCCCUCUCUUUGGUUGUUAUGGAUCCUUACAAGUUCCGUCCAUCAAGCGCAAACGAUCCCCCCUUCUGGACCACCGAUGCUGGUGCUCCAGUAUGGAACAACAAUUCCUCCAUGACUGUUGGAACCAGAGGUCCAAUCCUUCUGGAGGACUAUCAUAUGAUAGAGAAACUUGCCAACUUUACCAGAGAGAGGAUUCCAGAGCGUGUUGUCCAUGCUAGGGGAAUGAGUGCAAAGGGUUUCUUUGAAGUCACGCACGAUGUCACUGACCUUACUUGUGCUGAUUUCCUUCGAGCCCCUGGAGUCCAGACCCCUGUUAUUGUCAGGUUUUCCACUGUUAUCCAUGAGCGUGGAAGUCCUGAAACUCUCAGAGACCCUCGAGGUUUUGCUGUCAAGUUUUACACCAGAGAGGGUAAUUUUGACCUGGUGGGCAACAAUUUUCCUGUCUUUUUCAUCCGUGAUGGGAUUAAAUUCCCUGACAUGGUCCAUGCUCUCAAACCCAAUCCUAAGUCACACAUUCAGGAAACUUGGAGGAUACUUGACUUCUUCUCACACCACCCUGAGAGCUUGCACAUGUUCACCUUUCUCUUUGAUGACAUUGGAAUUCCACAGGAUUACAGGCACAUGGAUGGGUCUGGUGUUAACACCUACACUUUGAUCAACAAGGCUGGGAAAGCAUACUAUGUGAAAUUCCAUUGGAAACCAACUUGUGGGGUUAAGAGUUUGUUGGAAGAUGAGGCCAUAAGAGUCGGUGGAUCUAACCACAGUCAUGCCACACAGGACCUCUAUGACUCAAUUGCAGCUGGAAACUACCCUGAGUGGAAGCUUUUCAUUCAGACAAUUGAUCCUGCUGACGAGGAAAAGUUUGAUUUUGAUCCACUUGAUGUGACCAAGACUUGGCCUGAAGACAUCUUGCCCUUGCAGCCUGUGGGUCGCUUGGUUUUGAACAGGAAUAUCGAUAACUUCUUUGCUGAGAAUGAGCAACUUGCGUUCUGCCCCUCUAUUGUGGUGCCUGGUGUCUAUUAUUCAGAUGAUAAGUUGCUGCAAACUAGAAUUUUCUCCUACUCUGAUACUCAGAGGUAUCGCCUUGGCCCAAAUUAUCUGCAGCUUCCAGCAAAUGCUCCCAAGUGUGCUCAUCACAACAAUCACCAUGAUGGUUUCAUGAAUUUUAUGCAUAGGGAUGAGGAGGUCAAUUACUUUCCUUCAAGAUAUGAUCCUGUUCGUCAUGCUGAGAAGUACCCUAUUCCUUCUGCUAUUCUUUCUGGCAACUGUGAGAAGGUUUGUUUCUGUGCUAUUUGUUGCAUUGUUUAAAUGGUUAGCAAUGGAAAUGAAAUAUACAAUCCAUAUGAUUUUAGACCAAAAUGCUGUAGUGAUUCAAUGAACUAAUUUUUUCAGAUCCUUUUGAAAUGUUUUAUCCAUGCAAAUGGGACUAGCUAUUAGUUGUGUACUUGUGUUGGUCAAUUGGACAUGUAUAAUGCUGAGCUAUAGCACUUCGAUUUCAUUGUCACAGUGUGUCAUUCCAAAGGAGAACAACUUCAAGCAGCCUGGGGAGAGAUACCGUUCCUUUUCAUCAGACAGGUAUACUUAAUUAUCAUGUAAUUUCACUUUUUUUUUUUUCAUUUUUCUGUUCACUUUCAGUCUUAUAUACGAUAUUCUACCCCAGGAAAGAGCGAUUUAUUCGACGUUGGGUUGAGGCCAUGUCUGACCCAAGGGUUACCUAUGAAAUCCGCAGUAUUUGGAUCUCAUACUGGUAUCAGGUGAAGUUUCAUAUUCUUUGACAUAUAAAUACGUGUGCAUGCACACACACACACACAGGUGUUAAUAUUCAGUUGAUCUCAUACUUGGAUGGAUGAUCAUACUUGACCAGUAUACAAAUAAAAUCGCUUCGAUGUUUGAUUAAUUUGCUUUUCAAAUUAUGUUGAGAUUGAUUCUGUAAUCUGUCACUGUAUCAUAAUACUUUUGUGUUUCAACUUGGGGUAGAAGAAAGGGUCAGUUGAUGUAAACCAUUGACUGAUGAUUACUAAUAAAUUUUGUUUGUGUGGCUACAGGCUGACAAGUCUCUGGGACAGAAGAUUGCUUCUCAUCUCAACAUGAGGCCAACCAUGUGAUGAGCAGAAACAUUGUCUCAAAUAUUCAACCAUACAGUGACAGCGACAUUAUUCGAUCUAAUUACCGUGCCUUAUUUUAUAUGUAUUCCGUAUCUAAGAAAAAAAAACAUUGCAGUCUUGUGACAUAUACCGAGAAGAGUCUUUGUAAUAAGAUGUGCUAAAUAAUGUCUUAAAUGUGAGUUACUGUGUUUUUAAUAACUUUCCCUAGUGAGUCUCUUUUGACCGGUCUUUUCUUGUUGAGUGCCUGUUCCUGAUGAGUGCCUGUUGCAAAAGAAAACAAGGGUAGCCUAUUGGUCAACCAUUUCGAUGUUCAAGUUAGUCUUAGGUUGUUCAAAGAGAGUUUAUGAGUUGUAAAUAUAGAAUUGAGAAUUUGAUAAAGUAAACAUAUUUAAUUUAUACCUUAUUUUGAUAUUUCUAAACUGAAAGCUAAAGAGUUAUUGAAAUUAAUUUUAAGAAUUUCAACAUACUCGAUUGCCAUCCUAAGAUUCUCUUGCAAAUCUGCCACCCUUAUUAAUUCAUUCUAGCAAAACUCUAUUGAUUGUUGCUCAGGUAUUCCAGUCGGGCGUUUGA